This 464-nucleotide ribosomal RNA is filed under the name uncultured bacterium. RNAcentral's name for it is "bacterial SSU rRNA". It matches the Rfam family "Bacterial small subunit ribosomal RNA", at positions 331 to 792 of the family's 1533-position model. The record is from RNAcentral.
CCAGACUCCUACGGGAGGCAGCAGUGAGGAAUAUUGGUCAAUGGGCUUACGCCUGAACCAGCCAAGUCGCGUGAGGGAAGACUGCCCUAUGGGUUGUAAACCUCUUUUGUCAGGGAGCAAUUGGCGCUACGUGUAGCGUUAUCGAGAGUACCUGAAGAAAAAGCAUCGGCUAACUCCGUGCCAGCAGCCGCGGUAAUACGGAGGAUGCGAGCGUUAUCCGGAUUUAUUGGGUUUAAAGGGUGCGUAGGCGGAGGUGCAAGUCAGCGGUCAAAUUGCGGGGCUCAACCCCGUACUGCCGUUGAAACUGGCGGCCUCGAGUGGGCGAGAAGUAUGCGGAAUGCGUGGUGUAGCGGUGAAAUGCAUAGAUAUCACGCAGAACUCCGAUUGCGAAGGCAGCAUACCGGCGCCCGACUGACGCUGAGGCACGAAAGCGUGGGUAUCGAACAGGAUUAGAUACCCGCGUA